GGCAUGUGACCUCAAUCACAAAAGGACCUACCCUGGGCUGAAGGGGAGCUCACCUUCCUGAAGGAUAGGACACAAGCCUGGCUGGAUUCACCACCUGCUGACUGAAGAGCCUUUGGGCCUUGAGUGAACCUCGGCAGUAACCAAGCAAUGGUCACAGUGGGCCUUGUGCAAGACCCAGAGCUAUGCUGGCUUUGGGCCUGGACCCAGUGCAUUUCCAGGGGUGGUGGACACAGGGGUGCUUGUGUCACCCUUCCCCUACCUAGCUCCAUGCAGCUCAGUAUGGAAAGAGACACUGUUUGUUUGGGAGAAAGUAAGUGAAGAGAACAAGAGUCUCUGUCUGGUAAUUCAGGAAAUUCUCCCAGAAGUUUCAAAAGACCACCAAUGUGGCAACACAGCAUUACUGGACUUGGGGUGACCCCUAGUGUGGAUAUGGCAGUGACCAAAGAUUUAUAUCAUAACACUCAAUUCUCUUUGAAUACUUGGAAGACCUUCCCAAGAAGAUUGGAUACAAAUAAGACAAGACUGCAAAGACUGCAGUUAAUACAUAACUCUUCAAUGCUUGGGCAUUGACAAAUACUCACAAGCACCAGUACCAUCCAGGAAAACAUGAGCUCCCCAAACAAACUACACGAGGCACCAGUGACCAAUGCCAGAGUGACAAAUAUGUGACCUUUCCAACAGAGAAUUCAAAAUAGCUGUUUUGAGGAGGCUCAACCAAAUUCAAGAUAACACAGAGAAGAAAUUCAGAAUCUUAUCAGAUACAUUUUUACAGAGAUUGAAAUAGUUUUUUAAAAUGGAACAGAAAUUCUGAAGCUUAAAAAUGCAAUUGACAUGCAGAAGAAAGCAUCAGAGUCCUCCAACCAUUGAAUUGAUCAAGGAGGAGAAAGAAUUAGUGAACUUGAAGACAGGUAUUUGAAAAUACAUAGAAGAGUCAACAGAGAAAAGAGUAAGAAAGAAUGAAGCACACUGACAAGUUCUAAAAAAUAACCUCAAAAGGGCAAAUCUAAGGGUUAUUGGCCUUAAAGAGAAGGUAGAGAAAGAGAUAGAGGUAGAAGGUUUAUUCAAAGGGAUAAUAACAGAGAACUUCCCUUAUCUACAGAAAUAUAUCAAUAUCCAAGUACAAGAAGGUUAGAGACCACCAAGAUGAUUUAACCCAAAGAACAUUACCUCAAGGCAUUUAAUAAUCAAACUCCCAAAGAUCAAGGAUUAAAAAAGGACCAUAAAACCAGCAAGAGAAAGGAAACAAAUAGCAUAGAAAAGAUCUCUAAUACAUCUGGCAGCAGGCUUCUCAGUGGAAACCUUACAGGCCAGGAGAGAAUGGCAUGACACAUUUAAAAUGGUGAAG
This 1345-nucleotide long non-coding RNA is filed under the name Homo sapiens (human). RNAcentral's name for it is "HSALNT0141721". Lineage: Eukaryota; Metazoa; Chordata; Mammalia; Primates; Hominidae. The record is from RNAcentral.